CAAUAGCGUAUAUUUAAGUUGCUGCAGUUAAAAAGCUCGUAGUUGGAUUUCGGGUGGGAAUGGCCGGUCCGCCGUUUCGGUGUGCACUUGCUACGCCCACCUUGCUGCCGGGGACGUGCUCUUGAGUUCACGCUCGGGACACGGAGUCGGCGAGGUUACUUUGAGUAAAUUAGAGUGUUCGAAGCAGGCCUACGCUCUGAAUACAUUAGCAUGGAAUAACACGAUAGGACUCUGGCCUAUCUUGUUGGUCUGUAGGACCGGAGUAAUGAUUAAGAGGGACAGUCGGGGGCACUCGUAUUUCAUUGUCAGAGGUGAAAUUCUUGGAUUUAUGAAAGACGAACUACUGCGAAAGCAUUUGCCAAGGAUGUUUUCAUUAA
This 377-nucleotide ribosomal RNA is filed under the name uncultured eukaryote. RNAcentral describes it as "partial 18S ribosomal RNA". It matches the Rfam family "Eukaryotic small subunit ribosomal RNA", at positions 592 to 976 of the family's 1831-position model. The record is from RNAcentral.